Molecule: ribosomal RNA, 499 nt
Filed under: uncultured bacterium
Lineage: Bacteria
Description: partial 16S ribosomal RNA
Rfam family: Bacterial small subunit ribosomal RNA
Source: RNAcentral
GACGAACGCUGGCGGCGUGCCUAAUACAUGCAAGUCGAGCGAAGUUUUUCUGGUGCUUGCACCGGAAAAACUUAGCGGCGAACGGGUGAGUAACACGUAAAGAACCUGCCUCAUAGACUGGGACAACUAUUGGAAACGAUAGCUAAUACCGGAUAAUAGCAUUAACUGCAUGGUUGAUGUUUAAAAGUUGGUUUUGCUAACACUAUGAGAUGGCUUUGCGGUGCAUUAGCUAGUUGGUGGGGUAAGGGCCUACCAAGGCGACGAUGCAUAGCCGACCUGAGAGGGUGAUCGGCCACACUGGGACUGAGACACGGCCCAGACUCCUACGGGAGGCAGCAGUAGGGAAUCUUCCGCAAUGGGCGAAAGCCUGACGGAGCAACGCCGCGUGAGUGAAGAAGGAUUUCGGUUCGUAAAGCUCUGUUGUUAGGGAAGAAUGAUUGUGUAGUAACUAUACACAGUAGAGACGGUACCUAACCAGAAAGCCACGGCUAACUACGUG